Molecule: unclassified non-coding RNA, 1141 nt
Filed under: Hevea brasiliensis (rubber tree)
Lineage: Eukaryota; Viridiplantae; Streptophyta; Magnoliopsida; Malpighiales; Euphorbiaceae
Source: RNAcentral
UGCUUAGACUCCUCAAAUUGUUCAUCUCUAGGCACAUAAAUUGGCGAGGGCUUCUCUACACGAAUUUCUGCAUUUAUAUUUGUAUCAGUUGGGCAACGGCCGGUGCGACACCGUCUUGGAUAUGGCGUGUUUUCACCUCCAAGUUUUGGCCUAGCAAACUCAAUACCCUUGUCAGGAUUUCCCAAAUCAUUGUAGACAUCAAAGUCAUAAAUCCUGUCUGAUAACUUUCUCUCUCCUUGGCCAUCACCUCUGAUAUCUCUUAGUUCUGUUUCUCUUAACACUCUUAGUCCAGCAGGUGUCUCACUUGGCAAAUAUGGCUCAUUAGAGAAAAAUAUCCUAUUUGCAGGAUGAUCUUUCUUGGAUUGUACCCAGGAGUUGCAAGGGAAAUGCACUGGACCGCAAGCAAAUCCUUCAAGGGUGAUCGUCUCCAAGAAAAACUCCUUCUGGUGCUUGUUGCUCACUGUAAUUGCUCCAGGCACCCCAAAAUUGGAAUCCACUAGAAAUUCAGCUGCAUAAUGGACCCUCUCAGCUUUGACAUUUGAUUUCUCGGACCAGUCCUUCAACACAGCUGCCUUGCUUUUCUUCGGUGCUUUGGUUUUUCGAUCAACUUCAGUACUAAUGAGCUCCAAAACAACAUUUCUCCCAAUCUUGUCGGCGAAAGCAUCCCAGUGCUUGGCAAUGGUGUCCUUCAAAUCCUCCUUGUGCUUGUUUCUCACGGUGACAACAGCUCUCACCUUGAACGUCACUGGCUUUUCGGGCACAGUAUCUGUUUUACUAUUGGCUUUGAUCAAAUCUUCACUAAUAGCUGCAACAGGACCCCUCACAGCUGAUCUUUUUAAGUUAACCUUUCUGUGUUGCAAAGGCACCAAAACUGGUUUCGCCAAGAACUGAUUCUUUUGACGAAAACUAUGGUUAAAGAGCACUUUAGACGACCUUGAUACAUAUGAUGAUUUAUCAAUCAAAGAGCUACCCAUAAUUUCUUUAGCAAGUGCCAUCUUGUUUUCCUUUCCUCCUUCUCUGUGCAAUUAUAUUGUUAAAUAUUUUGCCUCUGCAGAGAAAGAUGAGAAGAAGAUGCAAAUGAACUGUGCGCUCAAAGCAAAAAAGGAAAAGUUAUCUGUGCGCCAGGCUGGUACUAGUGCUG